GGGCUUCCUGAAGGUAUUAGGUUUUGGGGCUAGGGUAAGGUUUAAGGUUUUUGGCAUUAGGGUUAAAAUCACUGUCCAAAACCUUUUAAGGAACAAGAUUCAGACCUUUUGGAGUUGGUUACACCAAAAAAAAUGUAAAAUGAAAAAAAAAAAUAUUUGGGGUGUUAGGGCUUCCUGAAGGUAAUACCCGGGCAUUAGGUUAUGGGGCUAGGGUAAGGUUAAAGGUUUUUGGCGUUAGGGUUAAAAUCACUGUCCAAAACCUUUUUAGGAACAUGUUUCAGACCUUUUGGAGUUGGUUACACCAAAAAAAAUGUAAAAUGAAAAAAAAAUUUUUUUGGGUGUUCGGGCUUCCUGAAGGUAAUACUAGGUUUCUGGGCUAGGGUAAUGUUUAAGGUUUUUGGCGUUAGGGUUAAAAUCAAUGUCCAAAACCUUUGGAGGAACUCUUUUCCAACCUUUGAGAGAAAGUUAGACCAAAAAAAAAAAGAAAAAUAAAAAAUAUAUAUUUGGGGUGUUCGGGCUUCCUGAAGGUAAUACCCGGGUAUUAGGUUUUGGGGCUAGGAUUAGGUUUAAGGUUUUUGGCGUUAGGGUUAAAAUCACUGUCCAAUAUUUUUUAAGGAACAUGUUUCAGACCUUUUGGAGUUAGUUAGACCAAAAAAAAAGAAAAAAGAAAAAAAAAUAUUUGGGGUUUUCGGGCUUCCUGAAGGUAUUAGGUUUUGGGGCUAGGGUAAGGUUUAAGGUUUUUGGCGUUAGGGUUAAAAUCACUGUCCAAAACCUUUUAAGGAACAAGAUUCAGACCUUUUGGAGUUGGUUACACCAAAAAAAAUGUAAAAUGAAAAAAAAAAAUAUUUGGGGUGUUCGGGCUUCCUGAAGGUAAUACCCUUCAGGUUUAAGUAUUAGGUUAUGGGGCUAGGAUUAGGUUUAAGGUUUUUGGCGUAAGGGUUAAAAUCACUGUCCAAUAUUUUUUAAGGAACAUGUUUCAGACCUUUUGGAGUUAGUUAGACAAAAAAAAAAGAUAAAUGAAAAAAAAAUAUUUGGGGUGUUGGGGCUUCCUGAAGGUAAUACCCGGGUAUUAGGUUAUGGGGCUAGGGUAAGGUUUAAGGUUUUUGGCGUUAGAGUUAAAAUCAGUGUCCAAAACCUUUUUAGGAACAUGUUUCAGACCUUUUGGAGUUGGUUACACCAAAAAAACAUGUAAAAUGAAAAAAAAAUAUUUGGGGUGUUCAAGUUUCCUGAAGGUAAUACCCGGGUUUUAGGUUUUGGGGCUAGGGUAAGGUUUAAGGUUUUUGGUGGAAGGGUUAAAAUCACUGUCCAAAACCUUUGUAGGAACUCUUUUCCAACCUUUUGGAGUUAGUUAGACCAAAAAAAAGGAAAAAAGAAAAAAAUAUAUUUGGGGUGUUCGGGCUUCCUGAAGGAAAUACCCAGGUAUUAGGUUAUGGGGCUAGGGUAAGGUUUAAGGUUUUUGGCGUUAGGGUUGAAAUCACUGUCCAAAACCUUUUUAGGAACACGUUUCAGACCUUUUGGAGUUGGUUACACCAAAAAAAAAUGUAAAAUGAAAAAAAAUAUAUUUGGGGUCUUCGGGCUUCCUGAAGGAAAUACCCAGGUAUUAGGUUAUGGGGCUAUAGUAAGGUUAAAGGUUUUUGGCGUUAGGGUUAAAAUCACUGUCCAAAACCUUUGUAGGAACUAUUUUCCAACCUUUUGGAGUUAGUUAGACCAAAAAAAAAAACGAAAAAUGAAAAAAAAUAUUUGGGGUUUUUGGGCUUCCUGAAGGUAAUACCCGGGUAUUAGGUUUUGGGGCUAGGGUAAGGUUUAAGGUUUUUGGCGUUAGAGUUAAAAUCAGUGUCCAAAACCUUUUUAGGAACAUGUUUAAGACCUUUUGGAGUUGGUUACACCAAAAAAAAAGAAAAAAGAAAAAAAUAUAUUUGGGGUCUUCGGGCUUCCUGAAGGAAAUACCCGGGUAUGAGGUUAUGGGGCUAGGGUAAGGUUUAAGUUUUUUGGCGUUAGGUUUAAAAUCACUGUCCAAAAUCUUUUUAGGAACAUGUUUAAGACCUUCUGGAGUUGGUUACACCAAAAAAAUGUAAAAAGAAAAAAUAUAUAUUUGGGGUGUUCGGGCUUCCUGAAGGUAAUACCCGGGUAUUAGGUUUUGGGGCUAGGUUAAGGUUUAAGGUUUUUGGCGUGAGGGUUAAAAUCACUGUCCAAAACCUUUGUAGGAAGUCUUUUCCAACCUUUUGGAGUUAGUUAGACAAAAAAAAAAAGAUAAAUGAAAAAAAAAUAUUUGGGGUGUUCGGGCUUCCUGAAGGUAAUACCCGGGUAUUAGGUUAUGGGGCUAGGGUAAGGUUUAAGGUUUUUGGCGUAAGGGUUAAAAUCACUGUCCAAAACCUUUUUAGGAACAUGUUUCAGACCUUUUGGAGUUGGUUACACCAAAAAAAAUGUAAAAUGAAAAAAAAAAUAUUUGGGGUGUUCGGGCUUCCUGAAGGUAAUACCCUUCAGGUUUAAGUAUUAGGUUAUGGGGCUAGGAUUAGGUUUAAGGUUUUUGGCGUAAGGGUUAAAAUCACUGUCCAAUAUUUUUUAAGGAACAUGUUUCAGACCUUUUGGAGUUAGUUAGACAAAAAAAAAAGAUAAAUGAAAAAAAAAUAUUUGGGGUGUUCGGGCUUCCUGAAGGUAAUACCCGGGUAUUAGGUUAUGGGGCUAGGGUAAGGUUUAAGGUUUUUGGCGUUAGAGUUAAAAUCAGUGUCCAAAACCUUUUUAGGAACAUGUUUCAGACCUUUUGGAGUUGGUUACACCAAAAAAAAAUGUAAAAUGAAAAAAAAAUAUUUGGGGUGUUCAAGUUUCCUGAAGGUAAUACCCGGGUUUUAGGUUUUGGGGCUAGGGUAAGGUUUAAGGUUUUUGGUGGAAGGGUUAAAAUCACUGUCCAAAACCUUUGUAGGAACUCUUUUCCAACCUUUUGGAGUUAGUUAGACCAAAAAAAAGGAAAAAAGAAAAAAAUAUAUUUGGGGUGUUCGGGCUUCCUGAAGGAAAUACCCAGGUAUUAGGUUUUGGGGCUAGGUUAAGGUUUAAGGUUUUUGGCGUGAGGGUUAAAAUCACUGUCCAAAACCUUUGUAGGAAGUCUUUUCCAACCUUUUGGAGUUAGUUAGACAAAAAAAAAAAAAGAUAAAUGAAAAAAAAAUAUUUGGGGUGUUCGGGCUUCCUGAAGGUAAUACCCGGGUAUUAGGUUAUGGGGCUAGGGUAAGGUUUAAGGUUUUUGGCGUAAGGGUUAAAAUCACUGUCCAAAACCUUUUUAGGAACAUGUUUCAGACCUUUUGGAGUUGGUUACACCAAAAAAAAUGUAAAAUGAAAAAAAAUAUAUUUGGGGUGUUCGGGCUUCCUGAAGGUAAUACCCUUCAGGUUUAAGUAUUAGGUUAUGGGGCUAGGAUUAGGUUUAAGGUUUUUGGCGUAAGGGUUAAAAUCACUGUCCAAUAUUUUUUAAGGAACAUGUUUCAGACCUUUUGGAGUUAGUUAGACAAAAAAAAAAAGAUAAAUGAAAAAAAAAUAUUUGGGGUGUUCGGGCUUCCUGAAGGUAAUACCCGGGUAUUAGGUUAUGGGGCUAGGGUAAGGUUUAAGGUUUUUGGCGUUAGAGUUAAAAUCAGUGUCCAAAACCUUUUUAGGAACAUGUUUCAGACCUUUUGGAGUUGGUUACACCAAAAAAAAAUGUAAAAUGAAAAAAAAAUAUUUGGGGUGUUCAAGUUUCCUGAAGGUAAUACCCGGGUUUUAGGUUUUGGGGCUAGGGUAAGGUUUAAGGUUUUUGGUGGAAGGGUUAAAAUCACUGUCCAAAACCUUUGUAGGAACUCUUUUCCAACCUUUUGGAGUUAGUUAGACCAAAAAAAAGGAAAAAAGAAAAAAAUAUAUUUGGGGUGUUCGGGCUUCCUGAAGGAAAUACCCAGGUAUUAGGUUAUGGGGCUAGGGUAAGGUUUAAGGUUUUUGGCGUUAGGGUUGAAAUCACUGUCCAAAACCUUUUUAGGAACACGUUUCAGACCUUUUGGAGUUGGUUACACCAAAAAAAAAUGUAAAAUGAAAAAAAAUAUAUUUGGGGUCUUCGGGCUUCCUGAAGGAAAUACCCAGGUAUUAGGUUAUGGGGCUAUAGUAAGGUUAAAGGUUUUUGGCGUUAGGGUUAAAAUCACUGUCCAAAACCUUUGUAGGAACUAUUUUCCAACCUUUUGGAGUUAGUUAGACCAAAAAAAAAAAACGAAAAAUGAAAAAAAAUAUUUGGGGUUUUUGGGCUUCCUGAAGGUAAUACCCGGGUAUUAGGUUUUGGGGCUAGGGUAAGGUUUAAGGUUUUUGGCGUUAGAGUUAAAAUCACUGUCCAAAACCUUUUUAGGAACAUGUUUAAGACCUUUUGGAGUUGGUUACACCAAAAAAAAAGAAAAAAGAAAAAAAUAUAUUUGGGGUCUUCGGGCUUCCUGAAGGUAAUACCCGGGUAUGAGGUUAUGGGGCUAGGGUAAGGUUUAAGUUUUUUGGCGUUAGGUUUAAAAUCACUGUCCAAAAUCUUUUUAGGAACAUGUUUAAGACCUUCUGGAGUUGGUUACACCAAAAAAAAUGUAAAAAGAAAAAAUAUAUAUUUGGGGUGUUCGGGCUUCCUGAAGGUAAUACCCGGGUAUUAGGUUUUGGGGCUAGGUUAAGGUUUAAGGUUUUUGGCGUGAGGGUUAAAAUCACUGUCCAAAACCUUUGUAGGAAGUCUUUUCCAACCUUUUGGAGUUAGUUAGACAAAAAAAAAAAAGAUAAAUGAAAAAAAAAUAUUUGGGGUGUUCGGGCUUCCUGAAGGUAAUACCCGGGUAUUAGGUUAUGGGGCUAGGGUAAGGUUUAAGGUUUUUGGCGUAAGGGUUAAAAUCACUGUCCAAAACCUUUUUAGGAACAUGUUUCAGACCUUUUGGAGUUGGUUACACCAAAAAAAAUGUAAAAUGAAAAAAAAAUUUUUUUGGGUUUUCGGGCUUCCUGAAGGUAAUACUAGGUUUCUGGGCUAGGGUAAUGUUUAAGGUUUUUGGCGUUAGGGUUAAAAUCAAUGUCCAAAACCUUUGUAGGAACUCUUUUCCAACCUUUGGGAUUAAGUUAGACAAAAAAAAAAAAGAUAAAUGAAAAAAAAAUAUUUGGGGUGUUCGGGCUUCCUGAAGGUAAUAGGUUUUGGGGCUAGGGUUAGGUUUAAGGUUUUUGGCAUAAGGGUCAAAAUAACUGUCCAAUAUUUUUUAAGGAACAUGUUUCAGACCUUUGGGAGUUAGUUAGACAAAAAAAAUGUAAAAAGAAAAAAAAAAUAUUUGGGGUGUUAGGGCUUCCUGAAGGUAAUACCUGGGUAUUAGGUUAUGGGGCAAGGGUUAGGUUUAAGGUUUUUGGCGUUAGGGUCAAAAUAACUGUCCAAUAUUUUUUAAGGAACAUGUUUCAGACCUUUGGGAGUUAGUUAGACAAAAAAAAAAGAAUAAGAAAAAAAAAAUAUUUGGGGUGUUAGGGCUUCCUGAAGGUAAUACCCGGGUAUUAGGUUAUGGGGCUAGGGUAAGGUUUAAGGUUUUUGGCGUUAGAGUUAAAAUCAGUGUCCAAAACCUUUUUAGGAACACGUUUAAGACCUUUUGGAGUUGGUUACACCAAAAAAAAAUGUAAAAUGAAAAAAAAUUUUUUUUGGGUGUUCGGGCUUCCUGAAGGUAAUACUAGGUUUCUGGGCUAGGGUAAUGUUUAAGGUUUUUGGCGUUAGGGUUAAAAUCAAUGUCCAAAACCUUUGUAGGAACUCUUUUCCAACCUUUGAGAGCAAGUUAGACCAAAACAAAAAUAAAAAUAAAAAUAUAUAUUUGGGGUGUUCGGGCUUCCUGAAGGUAAUACCCGGGUAUUAGGUUAUGGGGCUAGGGUAAGGUUUAAGGUUUUUUGGCGUGAGGGUAAAAAUCACUGUCCAAAACCUUUGUAGGAACUCUUUUCCAACCUUUGGGAUUAAGUUAGACAAAAAAAAAAAAAAGAUAAAUGAAAAAAAAAUAUUUGGGGUGUUCGGGCUUCCUGAAGGUAAUACCCGGGUAUUAGGUUUUGGGGCUAGGGUAAGGUUUAAGGUUUUUGGCGUAAGGGUCAAAAUAACUGUCCAAUAUUUUUUAAGGAACAUGUUUCAGACCUUUGGGAGUUAGUUAGACAAAAAAAAAAAGAAAAAGAAAAAAAAAAUAUUUGGGGUGUUCGGGCUUCCUGAAGGUAAUACCCGGGUAUUAGGUUAUGGGGCUAGGGUAAGGUUUAAGGUUUUUGGCGUUAGAGUUAAAAUCAGUGUCCAAAACCUUUUUAGGAACAUGUUUAAGACAUUUUGGAGUAGGUUACACCAAAAAAAAUGUAAAAUGAAAAAAAAAAUAUUUGGGGUGUUCGGGCUUCCUGAAGGUAAUACCCGGGUAUUAGGUUUUGGGGCUAGGGUAAGGUUUAAGGUUUUUGGUGGUAGGGUUAAAAUCACUGUCCAAAACCUUUGUAGGAACUCUUUUCCAACCUUUUGGAGUUUGUUAGACCAAAAAAAAGGAAAAAAGAAAAAAAUAUAUUUGGGGUGUUCGGGCUUCCUGAAGGAAAUACCCAGGUAUUAGGUUAUGGGGCUAGGGUAAGGUUUAAGGUUUUUGGCGUUAGGGUUGAAAUCACUGUCCAAAACCUUUUUAGGAACACGUUUCAGACCUUUUGGAGUUGGUUACACCAAAAAAAAAUGUAAAAUGAAAAAAAAUAUAUUUGGGGUCUUCGGGCUUCCUGAAGGAAAUACCCAGGUAUUAGGUUAUGGGGCUAUAGAAAGGUUAAAGGUUUUUGGCGUUAGGGUUAAAAUCACUGUCCAAAACCUUUGUAGGAACUAUUUUCCAACCUUUUGGAGUUAGUUAGACCAAAAAAAAAAACGAAAAAUGAAAAAAAAAAUUUGGGGUUUUUGGGCUUCCUGAAGGUAAUACCCGGGUAUUAGGUUUUGGGGCUAUAGAAAGGUUAAAGGUUUUUGGCGUUAGGGUUAAAAUCACUGUCCAAAACCUUUGUAGGAACUAUUUUCCAACCUUUUGGAGUUGGUUACACCAAAAAAAAUGUAAAAUGAAAAAAAAUAUAUUUGGGGUCUUCGGGCUUCCUGAAGGAAAUACCCAGGUAUUACGUUAUGGGGCUAUAGGAAGGUUAAAGGUUUUUGGCGUUAGGGUUAAAAUCACUGUCCAAAACCUUUGUAGGAACAUGUUUCAGACCUUUUGGAGUUGGUAACACCAAAAAAAAAUGUAAAAUGAAAAAAAAAAUAUUUGGGGUGUUCAAGCUUCCUGAAGGUAAUACCCGGGUAUUAGGUUUUGGGGCUAGGGUAAGGUUUAAGGUUUUUGGUGUUAGGGUUAAAAUCACCGUCCAAAACCUUUGUAGGAACUCUUUUCCGACCUUUUGGAGUUAGUAAGACCAAAAAAAAAGAAAAAAGAAAAAAAUAUAUUUGGGGUCUUCGGGCUUCCUGAAGGAAAUACCCGGGUAUGAGGUUAUGGGGCUAGGGUAAGGUUUAAGGUUUUUGGCGUUAGGUUUAAAAUCACUGUCCAAAACCUUUUUAGGAACAUGUUUAAGACCUUUUGGAGUUGGUUACACCAAAAAAAAUGUAAAAAGAAAAAAUAUAUAUUUGGGGUGUUCGGGCUUCCUGAAGGUAAUACCCGGGUAUUAGGUCAUGGGGCUAGGGUAAGGUUUAAGGUUUUUGGCGUAAGGGUUAAAAUCACUGUCCAAAACCUUUUUAGGAACAUGUUUCAGACCUUUUGGAGUUGGUUACACCAAAAAAAAUGUAAAAUGAAAAAAAAAUUUUUUUGGGUGUUCGGGCUUCCUGAAGGUAAUACUAGGUUUCUGGGCUAGGGUAAUGUUUAAGGUUUUUGGCGUUAGGGUUAAAAUCAAUGUCCAAAACCUUUGUAGGAACUCUUUUCCAACCUUUGAGGGCAAGUUAGACCAAAAAUAAAGAAAAAUAAAAAAUAUAUAUUUUGGGUGUUCGGGCUUCCUGAAGGUAAUACCCAGGUAUUAGGUUUUGGGGCUAGGGUUAGGUUUAAGGUUUUUGGCGUUAGGGUUGAAAUCACUGUCCAAAACCUUUUUAGGAACACGUUUCAGACCUUUUGGAGUUGGUUACACCAAAAAGAAAUGUAAAAUGAAAAAAAGUAUAUUUGGGGUCUUCGGGCUUCCUGAAGGAAAUACCCAGGUAUUAGGUUAUGGGGCUAUAGAAAGGUUAAAGGUUUUUGGCGUUAGGGUUAAAAUCACUGUCCAAAACCUUUGUAGGAACUAUUUUCCAACCUUUUGGAGUUAGUUAGACCAAAAAAAAAACGAAAAAUGAAAAAAAAUAUUUGGGGUUUUUGGGCUUCCUGAAGGUAAUACUCGGGUAUUAGGUUUUGGGGCUAGGGUAAGGUUUAAGGUUUUUGGCGUUAGAGUUAAAAUCAGUGUCCAAAACCUUUUUAGGAACAUGUUUAAGACCUUUUGGAGUUGGUUACACCAAAAAAAAUGUAAAAUGAAAAAAAAAAUAUUUGGGGUCUUCGGGCUUCCUGAAGGAAAUACCCAGGUAUUAGGUUAUGGGGCUAUAGUAAGGUUAAAGGUUUUUGGCGUUAGGGUUAAAAUCACUGUCCAAAACCUUUGUAGGAACAUGUUUCAGACCUUUUGGAGUUGGUAACACCAAAAAAAAAUGUAAAAUGAAAAAAAAAAUAUUUGGGGUGUUCAAGGUUUCUGAAGGUAAUACCCAGGUAUUAGGUUUUGGGGCUAGGGUAAGGUUUAAGGUUUUCGGUGUUAGGGUUAAAAUCACCGUCCAAAACCUUUGUAGGAACUCUUUUCCGACCUUUUGGAGUUAGUUAGACCAAAAAAAAAGAAAAAAGAAAAAAAUAUAUUUGGGGUCUUCGGGCUUCCUGAAGGAAAUACCCGGGUAUGAGGUUAUGGGGCUAGGGUAAGGUUUAAGGUUUUUGGCGUGAGGGUUAAAAUCACCGUCCAAAACCUUUGUAGGAAGUCUUUUCCAACCUUUUGGAGUUAGUUAGACAAAAAAAAAAAAAGAUAAAUGAAAAAAAAAUAUUUGGGGUGUUUGGGCUUCCUGAAGGUAAUACCCGGGUAUUAGGUCAUGGGGCUAGGGUAAGGUUUAAGGUUUUUGGCGUAAGGGUUAAAAUCACUGUCCAAAACCUUUUUAGGAACAUGUUUCAGACCUUUUGGAGUUGGUUACACCAAAAAAAAUGUAAAAUGAAAAAAAAUUUUUUUUUGGGUGUUCGGGCUUCCUGAAGGUAAUACUAGGUUUCUGGGCUAGGGUAAUGUUUAAGGUUUUUGGCGUUAGGGUUAAAAUCAAUGUCCAAAACCUUUGUAGGAACUCUUUUCCAACCUUUGAGGGCAAGUUAGACCAAAAAUAAAGAAAAAUAAAAAAUAUAUAUUUUGGGUGUUCGGGCUUCCUGAAGGUAAUACCCGGGUAUUAGGUUUUGGGGCUAGGGUUAGGUUUAAGGUUUUUGGCGUUAGAGUUAAAAUCAGUGUCCAAAACCUUUUUAGGAACAUGUUUAAGACCUUUUGGAGUUGGUUACACCAAAAAAAAUGUAAAAUGAAAAAAAAAAAGUAUUUGGGGUGUUCGGGCUUCCUGAAGGUAAUACCCGGGUAUUAGGUUAUGGGGCUAGGGUAAGGUUUAAGGUUUUUGGCGUGAGGGUUAAAAUCACUGUCCAAUAUUUUUUAAGGAACAUGUUUCAGACCUUUUGGAGUUAGUUAGACCAAAAAAAAAGUAAAAAGAAAAAAAUAUAUUUGGGGUGUUCGGGCUUCCUGAAGGUAUUAGGUUUUGGGGCUAGGGUAAGGUUUAAGGUUUUUGGCGUUAGGGUUAAAAUCACUGUCCAAAACCUUUUAAGGAACAAGAUUCAGACCUUUUGGAGUUGGUUACACCAAAAAAAAUGUAAAAUGCAAAAAAAAAAUAUUUGGGGUGUUCGGGCUUCCUGAAGGUAAUACCCUUCAGGUUUAAGUAUUAGGUUAUGGGGCUAGGAUAAGGUUUAAGGUUUUUGGCGUAAGGGUUAAAAUCACUGUCCAAAACCUUUUUAAGGAACAUGUUUCAGACCUUUUGGAGCUAGUUUGACCAAAAAAAAAAAGAAAAAGAAAAAAUAUAUAUUUGGGGUGUUCGGGCUUCCUGAAGGUAAUACCCAGGUAUUAGGUUAUGGGGCUAGGGUAAGGUUUAAGGUUUUUGGCGUAAGGGUUAAAAUCACUGUCCAAAACCUUUUUAGGAACAUGUUUCAGACCUUUUGGAGUUGGUUACACCAAAAAAAAUGUAAAAUGAAAAAAAAAAUAUUUGGGGUGUUUGGGCUUCCUGAAGGUAAUACCCGGGUAUUAUGUUUUGGGGCUAGGGUAAGGUUUAAGGUUUUUGGUGUUAGGGUUAAAAUCACUGUCCAAAACCUUUGUAGGAACUCUUUUCCGACCUUUUGGAGUUAGUUAGACCAAAAAAAAAGAAAAAAGAAAAAAAUAUAUUUGGGGUGUUCGGGCUUCCUGAAGGUAAUACCCGGGUAUUAGGUUAUGGGGCUAGGGUAAGGUUUAAGGUUUUUGGCGUUAGGGUUAAAAUCACUGUCCAAAACCUUUUUAGGAACAUGUUUCGGACCUUUUGGAGUUGGUUACACCAAAAAAAAAUGUAAACUGAAAAAAAAAUAUUUGGGGUGUUCAAGCUUCCUGAAGGUAAUACCCGGGUAUUAGGUUUUGGGGCUAGGGUUAGGUUUAAGGUUUUUGGCGUUAGGGUUAAAAUCACUGUCCAAAACCUUUGUAGGAACUAUUUUCCAACCUUUGGGAAUAAGUUAGACAAAAAAAAUAAGAUAAAUGAAAAAAAAAUAUUUGGGGUGUUCGGGCUUCCUGAGGGUAAUACCCGGGUUUUAGGUUUUGGGGCUAGGGUUAGGUUUAAGGUUUUUGGCGUUAGGGUUAAAAUAACUGUCCAAUAUUUUUUAAGGAACAUGUUUCAGACCUUUGGGAGUUAGUUAGACAAAAAAAAAAGAAAAAGAAAAAAAUAUAUUUGGGGUGUUCGGGUCUCCUGAAGGUAAUACCCGGGUAUUAGGUUAUGGGGCUAGGGUAAGGUUUAAGGUUUUUGGCGUUAGAGUUAAAAUCAGUGUCCAAAACCUUUUUAGGAACAUGUUUAAGACCUUUUAGAGUUGGUUACACCAAAAAAAAAUGUAAAAUUAAAAAAAAAAUAUUUGGGGUGUUCGGGCUUCCUGAAGGUAAUACCCGGGUAUUAGGUUAUGGGGCUAUAGUAAGGUUUAAGGUUUUUGGCGUUAGGGUUAAAAUCACUGUCCAAAACUUUUGUAGGAACUCUUUUCCAACCUUUUGGAGUUAGUUAGAACAAAAAAAAAAAAAUGAAAAAAAUAUAUUUGGGGUCUUCGGGCUUCCUGAAGGAAAUACCCGGGUAUUAGGUUAUGGGGCUAGUGUAAGGUUUAAGGUUUUUGGCGUUAGGGUUAAAAUCACUGUCCAAAACCUUUUUAGGAACAUGUUUCAGACCUUUUGGAGUUGGUUACACCAAAAAAAAAUGUAAAAUGAAAAAAAAAUAUUGGGGUGUUCAAGCUUCCUGAAGGUAAUACCCGGGUAUUAGGUUAUGGGGCUAUAGUAAGGUUUAAGGUUUUUGGCGUUAGGGUUAAAAUCACUGUCCAAAACCUUUGUAGGAACUAUUUUCCAAACUUUUGGAGUUAGUUAGACCAAAAAAAAACGAAAAAUGAAAAAAAAUAUUUGGGGUUUUCGUGCUUACUGAAGGUAAUACCCGGGUAUUAGGUUUUGGGGCUAGGGUUAGGUUUAAGCUUUUUGGCGUUAGGGUUAAAAUCACUGUCCAAUAUUUUUUAAGGAACAUCUUUCAGACCUUUGGGAGUUAGUUAGACAAAAAAAAAAGAAAAAGAAAAAAAAUAUUUGGGGUGUUCGGGCUUCCUGAAGGUAAUACCCGGGUAUUAGGUUAUGGGGCUAGGAUUAGGUUUAAGGUUUUUGGCGUUAGGGUUAAAAUCACUGUCCAAAACCUUUUUAGGAACAUGUUUAAGACCUUUUGGAGUUGGUUACACCAAAAAAAAUGUAAAAAGAAAAAAUAUAUAUUUGGGUUCAUAUUUGGGUUUUUAUUUCAAGUUCAACAAUUGCAACAACCUCAAGUUCAAAAACCGCCACAAACUCAAGUUCAAAAACACCACAAACUCAAGUUCAAAAACACAACACACCCUCAAGUUCAAAAACACCAAAAACUCAAGUUCAAAAACACCACAAACACAGUUCAAACACGAAACAAACUCAAGUUCAAAAACACCACAAACUCAAGUUCAACAAUUGCCACCAAUUAAAGUUCACCAAAAACCACAGACUCAAGUUCAACAAUUGCCACAAACUCAAGUUCAAAAAAAUUAAGUUCAAAAAACACACAAAUUCAAGUUCAACAAACAACACGAACUCAAGUUCAAACACGACACAAACUCAAGUUCAACCAACAACCAAAUCUCAAGUUUAACAAUUGCCACAACCUAGAGUUCAACAAACGCCACAACUCAAGUUCAACAAACACACAAACUCAAGUUCAAAAAGACCACAAACUCAAGUUCAAACAUGACACAAACUCAAUUUCAACAAACACAGAAACUCAAAUUCAACCAAUACCCAAUUCUCAAGUUUAACAAAUUCCACACCCUCAAGUUCAAAAACACCAAAAACUCAAGUUCAAAAACACGACACAAACUCAAGUUCAAAAACAACAGAAACUCAAGUUCAAACAUAACACAAACUCAAGUUCAACAAACACACAAGCUCAAUUUCAAAAACACGACACAAACUCAAGUUCAAAAACAACAGAAACUCAAGUUCAACAAACGCCAAAAACUCAAGUUCUAACACGGACAAACUCAAGUUCAAAAACAACAGAAACUCAAGUUCAAACAUAACCCAAUUCUCAACUUUAAAAAAUGUCACACCCUCAAGUUAAAAAUAAACACAACUUCAAGUUCAAAAACACCACAAACUCAGGUUCAAACACUACAAAAACCCAAUUUAAAAACACAAAAAACGCAAGUUCAACCAAUACCAAAUUCUUAAGUUUAACAAUUUCCUCAACCUCAAGUGCAAGACCACCAAAAACUCAAGUUCAAAAAUAACACAAUUUCAAGUUCAACAAACACACAAACUCAAGUUCAUAAACACCACAAACUCAAGUUCAAACACACCACAAACUCAAGUUAAAAAAAAAACAAACUCAAGUUCAACCAACACCCGAUUAUACGGUUUAACAAUUUCCACAACCUCAAGUUCAAAAAAACAGAAACUCAAGUUCAAAAAAACACAAAAACUCAAGUUCACCAAACAUGCAAAUUCAAGUUAAAAAAACCCAUAAACUCAAGUUCAAACACGACACAAACUCAAGAUCAAAAACACAAAAAAAUCAGUUCAACCAAUACCCAAUUCUCAAGUUUAACAAUUUCCACAACCUCAAGUUCAAAAACACCACAAACUCAAGUUCAAAAACACCAUAAACUCAAGUUCAAACACGAAACAAACUCAAGUUCAAAAACACAAAAAACUCAAGUUCAACCAAUACCCAAUUCUCAAGUUUAACAACUUCCACAAGCUCAAUUUCAAAAACACCAAAAAUUCAAGUUCAAAGACACCAAAAACUCAAGUUCAAACAUGAAACAAACUCAAGUUAAAAAACACCACAAACUCAAGUUCAACCAAAACCCAAUUCUCAACUUUAAAAAAUUUCACACCCUCAAGUUAAAAAUAAACACAACUUCAAGUUCAAAAACACCACAAACUCAGGUUCAAACACUACAAAAACCCAAUUUAAAAACACAAAAAACGCAAGUUCAACCAAUACCCAAUUCUUAAGUUUAACAAUUUCCUCAACCUCAAGUGCAAGACCACCAAAAACUCAAGUUCAAAAAUAACACAAUUUCAAGUUCAACAAACACACAAACUCAAGUUCAUAAACACCACAAACUCAAGUUCAAACACACCACAAACUCAAGUUAAAAAAAAAAACAAACUCAAGUUCAACCAACACCCGAUUAUACGGUUUAACAAUUUCCACAACCUCAAGUUCAAAAAAACAGAAACUCAAGUUCAAAAAAACACGAAAACUCAAGUUCACCAAACAUGCAAAUUCAAGUUAAAAAAACCCAUAAACUCAAGUUCAAACACGACACAAACUCAAGAUCAAAAACACAAAAAAAUCAGUUCAACCAAUACCCAAUUCUCAAGUUUAACAAUUUCCACAACCUCAAGUUCAAAAACACCACAAACUCAAGUUCAAAAACACCAUAAACUCAAGUUCAAACACGAAACAAACUCAAGUUCAAAAACACAAAAAACUCAAGUUCAACCAAUACCCAAUUCUCAAGUUUAACAACUUCCACAAGCUCAAUUUCAAAAACACCAAAAAUUCAAGUUCAAAGACACCAAAAACUCAAGUUCAAACAUGAAACAAACUCAAGUUAAAAAAAAACAAACUCAAGUUCAAACACAACACAAACUCAAGUUCAACAAACACACAAACUCAAGAUCAAAAACACCAAAAACUUAAGUUCCAACACAACACAAACUAAAGUUCAACAAACACUAACUCAAGUUCAUCCAACACCUGAUUCUCAAGUUAAACAAUUUCCACAAACUCAAGUUCAGAAAAACCCCACAAACUCAAGUUCAACCAAUACCAAAUUGUCAAGUUAAACAAAUUCCAAACCCUCAAGUUUAAACACGACACAAACUCAAGUCCAAAAAAACCACAACCUCAAGUUCAAACACACAAACUCAAGUUCAAAAACACCACAAGCUAAAGUUCAAACGUGACACAAACUCAAGUUCAACAAACACACAAACUCAAGUUAAACCAACACCUGAUUCAAAGGUUUAACAAUUUCCAAUACCUCAAGUUCAAAAACAACAGAAACUCAAGUUCAAAAACACCACAAACUCAAGUUCAAACACGACACAAACUCUAGUAAAAAACACAAAAAAAUCAAGUUCAAAUAUACCCAAUUCUCAAGUUCAACAAUUUCCACAAACUCAAGUCCAAAAAAACCACAACCUCAAGUUCAAACACGCAAACUCAAAUUCAAAAACACCACAAUUUCGAGCUCAAACACGACACAAACUCAAGUUAAAAAAAAAAAUACUCAAGUUCAAUCAACACCUGAUUCUCAAGUUUAACAAGUUCCACAACCUCAAGUUGAAAAAUGACACAAACUCAAGUACAAAACACCACAAACUCAAGUUCAAAAACACCACAACCUCAAGCUUAAAAAACAGCACAAACUGAAGUUAAAACACAACACAAUCUCUUGUUCAACCAACACACAAACUCAAGUUCAACCAAUACCCAAUUCUCAAGUUUCACAAUUUCCAACACCUCAAGUUCAAAAACACCACAAACUCAAGUUCAAAAACACCACAAACUCAAGUUCAAAGACACCAAAAACUAAAGUUCAAAAAACACACAAACUCAAGUUCAAACACGACACAAACUCUAGUAAAAAAACACAAAAAAAUCAAGUUCAACAAUACCCAAUUCUCAAGUUUCACAAUUUCCAACACCUCAAGUUCAAAAACACCACAAACUGAAGUUCAAAAACACCACAAACUCAAGUUCAAACGCGAUUCAAACUCAAGUUCAAAAACACCACAAACUCAAGUUCAAAGACACCAAAAACUAAAGUUCAAAAAACACACAAACUCAAGUUCAAACAAGACACAAACUUAAGUUCAACAAACACACAAACUCAUGUUCAACAAAUGCCAAACUUUUAAGUUGAACCAACACCCAAAUCUCAAGUUCAACAAUUGCCACAACCUAGAGUUCAAAAACACCACAAACUCAAGUUCAAAAACACAACACACCCUCAAGUUCAAAAACACCAAAAACUCAAGUUCAAAAACACCACAAACACAGUUCAAACACGAAACAAACUCAAGUUCAAAAACACCACAGACUCAAGUUCAACAAUUGCCAAAAUCUCAAGUUCAGAAACAACAAACUCAAGUUCAAAAAACACGCAAACUCAAAUUCAAAAACACCACAAUUUCGAGCUCAAACACGACACAAACUCAAGUUAAAAAAAAAAAUACUCAAGUUCAAUCAACACCUGAUUCUCAAGUUUAACAAGUUCCACAACCUCAAGUUGAAAAAUGACACAAACUCAAGUACAAAACACCACAAACUCAAGUUCAAAAACACCACAACCUCAAGCUUAAAAAACAGCACAAACUGAAGUUAAAACACAACACAAUCUCUUGUUCAACCAACACACAAACUCAAGUUCAACCAAUACCCAAUUCUCAAGUUUCACAAUUUCCAACACCUCAAGUUCAAAAACACCACAAACUCAAGUUCAAAAACACCACAAACUCAAGUUCAAAGACACCAAAAACUAAAGUUCAAAAAACACACAAACUCAAGUUCAAACAAGACACAAACUUAAGUUCAACAAACACACAAACUCAUGUUCAACAAAUGCCAAACUUUUAAGUUGAACCAACACCCAAAUCUCAAGUUCAACAAUUGCCACAACCUAGAGUUCAACAAACUCAAGUUCUCACACGAAACAAACUCAAGUUCAAAAACACCACAAACUCAAGUUCAAAAACACAACACACCCUCAAGUUCAAAAACACCAAAAACUCAAGUUCAAAAACACCACAAACACAGUUCAAACACGAAACAAACUCAAGUUCAAAAACACCACAAACUCAAGUUCAACAAUUGCCACCAAUUAAAGUUCACCAAAAACCACAGACUCAAGUUCAACAAUUGCCACAAACUCAAGUUCAAAAAAAUUAAGUUCAAAAAACACACAAAUUCAAGUUCAACAAACAACACGAACUCAAGUUCAAACACGACACAAACUCAAGUUCAACCAACAACCAAAUCUCAAGUUUAACAAUUGCCACAACCUAGAGUUCAACAAACGCCACAACUCAAGUUCAACAAACACACAAACUCAAAUUCAACCAAUACCCAAUUCUCAAGUUUAACAAAUUCCACACCAAGUCCAAAAAAACCACAACCUCAAGUUCAAACACACAAACUCAAGUUCAAAAACACCACAAGCUAAAGUUCAAACGUGACACAAACUCAAGUUCAACAAACACACAAACUCAAGUUAAACCAACACCUGAUUCAAAGGUUUAACAAUUUCCAAUACCUCAGGUUCAAAAACAACAGAGCUCAAGUUCAAAAACACCACAAACUCAAGUUCAAACACGACACAAACUCUAGUAAAAAAACACAAAAAAAUCAAGUUCAACGAUACCCAAUUCUCAAGUUGAACAAUUUCCACAACCUCAAGUUCAAAAACACCAAAAACUCAAGUUCAAAAACACCACAAACUCAAGUUUAAACACGACACAAACUGAAGUUCAACAGUUGCCACAAAUUCAAGUUCAAACACAAAACAAAUUCAAGUUCAAAAUCACAACAAACUCAAGUUCAACCAAUACCCAAUUCUCAAGUUUAACAAUUUCCACAACCUCAAGUUCAAAAACAUCACAAACUCAAGUUCAACAAACAUCACAAACUCAAGUUCAACCAAUACCCAAUUCUAAAGUUUAACAAAUUCCACACCCUCAAGUUCAAAAUCACCACAAACUCAAGUUCAAAAACCCCAUUAACUCAAGUUCAAACACAACACAAACUCAAUUUCAACAAACGCCACAAACUCGAGUUCAAACAAGAAACAAACUCAAGUUCAGAAAAACCACUAACUCAAGUUCAAACACAACACAAACUCAUGGUCAACAAACACCACAAACUAAAUUUCCAACAUGAUACAAACUCAAGUUCAACAAACACACUAACUAAAGUUCAUCCAACACCUGAUUCUCAAGUUUCAAAAUUUCAAGGUCACCAAACACGCACCUCAAGUUCAAAAACACCACAAACUGAGGUUCAAACACUACACAAACCUAAUUUAAAAAACACCACAAACUCAAGUUAAACCAAAACCCAAUUCUCAAGUUUAACAAAUUCCACACCCUCAAGUUCAAAAACACCACAAACUCAAGUUCAACAAACGCCACAAACUCAAGUUCAAACACGACACAAAUCAAGUUCAAAAACCCCACAAACUCAAGUUCAAACACAAACUCAAGUUCAACAAACACACAAAAUCAAGUUAAAAAACACCACAAACUCAAGUUCAAACUCGACACAAACUCAAGUUCAACAAAAACACAAACUCAAGUUAAACCAAUACCCAAUUCUCAAGUUUAACAAAUUCCACACCCUCAAGUUCAAAAAACCAGAAAACUCAAGUUCAAAAACACCACAAACUCAAGAUCAAACACGACACAAACUAAAGUUCAACAAACGCCAGAAACCCAAGUUCAAACACGACACAAAUUCAAGUUCAAAAACAACAGAAACUCAAGUUCAAAAAACACACAAACUCAAGGUCACCAAACACGCACCUCAAGUUCAAAAACACCACAAACUCAGGUUCAAACACUACACAAACCUAAUUUAAAAAACACCACAAACUCAAGUUCAACCAAAACCCAAUUCUCAAGUUUAACAAAUUACACACCCUCAAGUUCAAACACAACACAAACUCAAGUUAAACAAACACACUCAAGUUAAAACACGACACAAACUCAAGUUCAAAAACACCACAAACUCAAGUUCAAACACAAACUCAAGUUCAACAAACACACAAAAUCAAGUUAAAAAACACCACAAACUCAAGUUCAAACUCGACACAAACUCAAGUUCAACAAAAACACAAACUCAAGUUCAACCAAUACCCAAUUCUCAAGAUUAACAAAUUCCACACCCUCAAGUUCAAAAACACCAAAAUCUAAAGUUCAAAAACACCACAAACUCAAGUUCAAACACGACACAAACUGAAGUUCAACAAUUGCCACAAAUUCAAGUUCAAACACAAAACAAAUUCAAGUUCAAAAUCACCACAAACUCAAGUUCAACCAAUACCCAGUUCUCAAGUUUAACAAUUUCCACAACCUCAAGUUCAAAAACAUCACAAACUCAAGUUCAACAAACAUCACAAACUCAAGUUCAACCAAUACCCAAUUCUAAAGUUUAACAAAUUCCACACCCUCAAGUUCAAAAACACAAAAAACUCAAGUUCAAAAACACCAUUAACUCAAGUUCAAACACAACACAAACUCAAUUUCAACAAACGCCACAAACUCAAGUUCAAACAAGAAACAAACUCAAGUUCAAAAAAACCACAAACUCAAGUUCAAACACAACACAAACUUUCGUUCAACAAACACCACAAACUAAAUUUCCAACAUGAUACAAACUCAAGUUCAA
This 19189-nucleotide long non-coding RNA is filed under the name Xyrichtys novacula (pearly razorfish). Lineage: Eukaryota; Metazoa; Chordata; Actinopteri; Labriformes; Labridae. The record is from RNAcentral.